This 1970-nucleotide unclassified non-coding RNA is filed under the name Hevea brasiliensis (rubber tree). The record is from RNAcentral. Lineage: Eukaryota; Viridiplantae; Streptophyta; Magnoliopsida; Malpighiales; Euphorbiaceae.
UGAAAAGCAUGAGAACACUGGGCUGUAAAUAUAGCGUGGCCUGGGUUGUUCUCAUGCUUUUCACUUUGCCUGCAUCUCAUCCAAUGUACGCCAUGGUAGUGUCACCUGCCCCAUCUGCCGUGCCCAUUGGACCCAGCUUCCUCGCAACCUAAACCCACCUUGUUCGUUGUCUUGCAACCAAACUGACCCCAUUUUCCAAAUUCUUGAUGACUCCAUUGCCACUUUCCGCGUCCAUAGACGCUCCUUCCUGCGCUCUGCCCGUUACAAUGAUGAUGACCCCAUAGAGCCUGAGGACACCUCCAACCAUCCACGCCUUGAGUUCUCUCUUGUGCCCGUGCCACCAACACUCCUUCAUCAUCCAUGCACUCAAGCCACUGGACGCAGCUCACGCUACCAUAAUGUUCACCACUUAACAGGCUUCUCUUCUUCAUUGUUUGUACACCCACCAACUUCUUAUACAUGCUCCUCCUCAAAUAGGAGACCUGCUGUCUCUCUCUCUGUAAAAUCAACACAUCAAAGAGCAAUAGACUUGGUUCUGGUUGCAAGCCCCAACGGACCACAUUUGAGGCUUGUCAAGCAAUCCAUGGCAUUAGUGGUAUUCUCCCUCCGCCCUGUUGAUCGUUUGGCUAUUGUGACUUACUCUUCAUCUGCUUCUCGCAUCUUUCCAUUGAGACGCAUGACAUCCUAUGGUAAGCGAACAGCUCUGCAAGUAAUUGACCGUCUUUUCUUCAUGGGGCAAGCAGAUCCGACUGAGGGCCUCAAGAAAGGUAUAAAGAUACUUGAAGAUCGUGCGCACAAGAAUCCAAAUUCCUGUAUCUUGCAUCUCUCUGAUAGUCCAACGAGAUCAUACCAUGCCAUCAACAUGCAAUAUCCCAUUCCAAUCCAUCGGUUUCAUGUGGGAUUUGGCUUUGGAACUUCCAAUGGAUUUGUCAUGCAUGAGUUUGAAGAGUUCUUAGUGAGACUGCUUGGAUGUGUGAUCAGAGAUGUUCAAUUGAAAAUUGGGGAAGAAGGCAGAAUAAUAAGGCUUGGAGAGCUAAGAGGCAAUGAAGAAAGGAUAAUUUUAUUAGAAUUGGGCAAUUCUGGACAUGUCUGCGUGGGAUACAGCUACAUUGAGGGCGGAGUUGAUGAGUGCACCAGAACGGGAGAAACUGUGGUUAGUUUAAGGGAUAAACGGGAAGCACAUGAUACUAACAUAGAUGCUGUCGUUGCAGGGAGGGAAGCAAACAUAAUUGGAGGGAGGACUAGUAGCGUUGAGAGUUGGGAUUACCAUGAUCCUUACAUGGCUAGAAGAUGGGCUAAACAUUUGCAUGGUUAUAGGCUUUGAAUUACAGAAUCAAAACUUCACCAUACAUAUAUGCAUACAUCAAUCAGAUCCACAAGAAGAUUUCAGUCAUUCUGUGUGAGCUUCCUAAUGGUUGAACAAGCAGCUAUGCUUAAACUGCGGGAAAAAAUAUGUUUUAAUGAGAGUGCUUUAACAAAAUCCACAAAUGUAGCUAAAGACUUGCAAAAUCAUACCUCAUCCUUUAAUGCAUACAUCCAUUGUAACUUUGUAGGACUCCUUAACAUCAGCUGCUUAUAAAUUUAAGUAAAAGCAUUUAAUAUAUAUUUCCCACAAAAUUUGCAACUUGGAAGCCUAAUGCAAUACAUACACCACGUAGCCAGCACUGUAGAACACACUUCAAUAACUUCCAUGACACUCCAGAGAAUGCAUUCAGUAAUACAUCGAGUCGGUAAUUUUAAUAAUCAGUAGUCUUUAAGACUUAUAAACUCAUGGAAUUUAUCGCUACAAUUAAAACUAUGGUUGCCAAGAAAGGAACUUGUUCAAGCAAUUGCAAGUUCAAAAACAAAGAUCGAAUACAAGAAUUAGUCAUGAAGAUAGUCAUAAGUUGAGAAAUCACUGUAUAGUAGAGAUCCAUUCUCAGAGUAGUGAAGAAGGUAAUAGCAGCCAUUACAGAAAUAGCAAGGGUUAU